CUGGAGUGUAUAGAGAUUGAAAUUUUGCCCUGCCUUGACAGGGAACAUGAAUUUUGUUUUGAAUUCAAUUAGGAAUCUUCCCAUUGCCAUGAAAAUUUGAUUUCAUUUCAGGAUCCUAGCUAUUUAUACAAUGGGAACAAUGAAACUGGUGGUGCACUGGUACCAGCACAGGUCAUUGAUGAUGCAUUUCUUGGGAGGUAUCAUAAUUCUGCCGGAGCUGUAGUUUUCCUCAGUAUCAUCUGGGAAUCUUUCUUCGUUUGUGGACUUUCAGUGACCAAUAGUGCUGGCAGAGUUGUUUAUGCUUUACCAAGAGACAAUGGAAUCCCAUUUUCACCUGUGUGGAGAAAAAUACACCCCAAAUACAAGGUUCCCAGAAAUGCGGUGUGGCUCUGUACAGCCAUCGGCAUUAUUCUUGGACUACCAUCUUGAAGCUUGAUGUAAUUUUCACAGCCAUCAUAUCAAUAAGUACAAUUGGAUGGGUUGGAGGGUAUGCUGUACCAAUACUGGCAAGGCUGUUGAUGGAUGAGAAGAACUUCAAACCUGGACCCUUUUAUUUGGGUAGAGCAAGGAGGCCAAUUUGCUUGGUAGCCUUCCUGUGGAUAUGUUAUACCUGUUCAGCUUUCCUAUUGCCAACAAUCUACCCUAUCCGAUGGAAAACUUUCAACUAUGCACCAGUUGCACUUGGGGUAUGUUUGAGCCUGAUAAUGCUUUGGUGGGUCUUGGAUGCAAGGAAAUGGUUCAAG
Molecule: unclassified non-coding RNA, 743 nt
Filed under: Hevea brasiliensis (rubber tree)
Lineage: Eukaryota; Viridiplantae; Streptophyta; Magnoliopsida; Malpighiales; Euphorbiaceae
Source: RNAcentral